CGCCACGUGAUAUAGCACAAACAACGGCGAGUGAGCAGCAAUAGCUCAAAUUUGAAAUCUGGCGUCUUCGACGUCCGAGUUGUAAUUUGUAGAGGAUGCUUCUGAGUAACCACCGACCUAAGUUCCUUGGAACAGGACGUCAUAGAGGGUGAGAAUCCCGUAUGCGGUCGGAAAGGUGCUCUAUACGUAGCUCCUUCGACGAGUCGAGUUGUUUGGGAAUGCAGCUCUAAAUGGGAGGUAAAUUUCUUCUAAAGCUAAAUAUUGGCCAGAGACCGAUAGCGCACAAGUAGAGUGAUCGAAAGAUGAAAAGCACUUUGGAAAGAGAGUUAAAAAGCACGUGAAAUUGUUAAAAGGGAAGGGAUUGCAACCAGACUUGCUCGCGGUGUUCCGCCGGUCUUCUGACCGGUCUACUCGCCGCGUUGCAGGCCAGCAUCGUCUGGUGCCGCUGGAUAAGACUUGAGGAAUGUAGCUCCCUCGGGAGUGUUAUAGCCUCUUGUGAUGCAGCGAGCGCCGGGCGAGGUCCGCGCUUCGGCUAGGAUGCUGGCGUAAUGGUCGUAAUCCGCCCGUCUUGAAACACGGACCAAAACCAAAAAUAUUUUUUUAGUAUGUGUAGUUUAUUUUUUUUUUUCUUUUUUCUUUUUUUUUUUUUUCUCUUCUUUCGA
This 662-nucleotide ribosomal RNA is filed under the name Sporobolomyces pararoseus. Its description in RNAcentral is "Sporidiobolus pararoseus partial 26S ribosomal RNA". The stretch from base 1 to 579 matches the Rfam family "Eukaryotic large subunit ribosomal RNA", at positions 56 to 664 of the family's 3401-position model. Lineage: Eukaryota; Fungi; Basidiomycota; Microbotryomycetes; Sporidiobolales; Sporidiobolaceae. The record is from RNAcentral. RNAcentral also lists the same sequence under 1 other name.